CCUACGGGUGGCAGCAGUGGGGAAUAUUGGACAAUGGGCGAAAGCCUGAUCCAGCCAUGCCGCGUGUGUGAAGAAGGCCUUCGGGUUGUAAAGCACUUUCAGUGGGGAAGAAAGCCUUGGGGCUAAUACCCUCGAGGAAGGACAUCACCCACAGAAGAAGCACCGGCUAACUCCGUGCCAGCAGCCGCGGUAAUACGGAGGGUGCGAGCGUUAAUCAGAAUUACUGGGCGUAAAGCGCGCGUAGGCGGUCUGAUAAGCCGGUUGUGAAAGCCCCGGGCUCAACCUGGGAACGGCAUCCGGAACUGUCAGGCUAGAGUGCAGGAGAGGAAGGUAGAAUUCCCGGUGUAGCGGUGAAAUGCGUAGAGAUCGGGAGGAAUACCAGUGGCGAAGGCGGCCUUCUGGACUGACACUGACGCUGAGGUGCGAAAGCGUGGGUAGCAAACAGGAUUAGAUACCCCGGUAGUC
Molecule: ribosomal RNA, 465 nt
Filed under: Vreelandella stevensii
Lineage: Bacteria; Pseudomonadati; Pseudomonadota; Gammaproteobacteria; Oceanospirillales; Halomonadaceae
Description: partial 16S ribosomal RNA
Rfam family: Bacterial small subunit ribosomal RNA
Source: RNAcentral